Molecule: long non-coding RNA, 2252 nt
Filed under: Homo sapiens (human)
Lineage: Eukaryota; Metazoa; Chordata; Mammalia; Primates; Hominidae
Description: HSALNT0353259
Source: RNAcentral
GGCCUGGCGCGUCCGCCGAGCGCGGGGGUUUGUUUAUUUUCCCGGUUGGUAGCGGCGCUGGCGCUGGUUAGAGGUUCGCCGGUGACGUGAGCGCCCGAGUUGGGGGAGAGGACCAGAACCACCUGCUGGAGAAAGGGAGCUACGGGGGCCGGGCAGGGUCCAAACGCCUCACGUGGGCGGCGGCGCCACGGUCUUCGGGGUCACAGGGAAGAGAAGGGCUCUCCUCAAGCGGGUGGAAGGAGGGAGGCCUCCCGAGGGAAUGAGACUCCAGGCCACUCCCCCGCAGCAAGGCAGGAUCACCUGCGUCGCGGAGAGCAGUUAGAGGUCCCUGGAGUGGAAAAGGGCAGUGGGACCUGGUAGCUUGGGUUCCCUGCAACUUGGGGUUCGACCUCCAGGCAAUGAAGUAGGGAUGGUCCUGCAAGUCAAGAUUCCAGUAGCAAGAGUGCAUCAGAUCUCUGUAAGGAAAAUAACUAACAUUGCUCAGUUCCCUGUAGAGUUGCAGGGCGCUUUGACGUUAUCUCCCUUGGUUCUCCAUCAGGUCGUAGUGGACUAAUUUUACAGGCGAAGUUAAGUGACUUACCCAAAACCUCACAGCUAAUAAACGGCAGAGCCGGCACCCAGCUGUACUGGCUUCCAGCGCAUCCCAUUAUCUCCAUAAAUCCCCCUGAUUCAACUAAUAUUAGACGCCCCACAGGUAAGAUGCUUCAGAGUUAGAGGGGAGUUGAAGAUACCUUUGCCUUCAAAGAAGUAAGGAAUGAAACAAAGAUAAAACAGACAAUAAAAGACAAACCAUGAUAGGUGCCACGUGAAAAGUGGCAGAGUACUGCCGGGAAUCAAAGAACCGUGUAUAUCUGUCUUGGGGAUAAGGAAAGAAACGCAGCAUGAAGGAGUAGGCAUUUGGGAUUGACCUUGAAGGAGACAGGGAGAGUUUUACAGCAAGAAGGGAUAGCAUGAGAAUAUAUAUGAAGGCGAAUCAGUGAAAGUUGUGUUGGGGAAAGAGCAAAGACUCCAGGUAUGUUGAGAGGUAGAAAAGACAAAGGAGUAUGGGGCCUAAGAUACCAAAUGGAUGAAUUUAUAUUUAAUUCAGUAUUUUGAGUUUUUAUGGUUCAGAAGUUUGGGGGAAGAAAAGGAAGGUUUUUUUUUUCUUUAUGCUAGUGAUUUAUCUGUGAAGGGAAGCAGAAAUCAGAGGUGGAAAAACUGACAGAUCUACUGUAGGCCAGGUAAAAGGUAAUGAUGAGUCUGACCUAAAGGGACAGCCAGGGGAAUUUAAAGAGCAUAGUUGAGAGAUGAUGUGCAUGCAGAAUCUAUAGAAUUUGCUAACUGAUUGAUUAAUUGUGGGUAGGAAGAGAGAAAUCAAAGAAAGUGGAGGUUUUGAGUUUCUAGAUAAUUGCAAGAGAGAAAAGAGACAAUUACAAAGGAAAGGAGAAGGAGCUACUUCUUGAGAGAAGAUCAGUUUAGAUUUAGACAUUUUAAGAAUUCAAAGGGUUGUCAAGACAGCCAGACGGACAUGGACACUAAUAAGUUAGAAAUAAAGGUUUUGUAAUAUGGGAAAGAGGACUGAGCUAGAAAAUAGACUCAUAGAUAAUCAGCCUAGGAGUGAUAUUGCUGUGAGAUAAAAGAAGAAAACAAAGUCAGAAUCUUGGAAAACACCCUCUUCAGAGUCUCGCUGCUCAAAACGUGGUCAGUGGCCCAGCAGCACUGACAUGAGGACCUUAGUUGGAAACUCAGAAUCUCAGGCUCCACCCCAGACCUGCUGAACCAGCAUCUUCAACUUAACAAGAACCCGAAGAGAUUUGUGCCACAUCAAAAAGUUUGAGAAGCUCUGAUCUAGCUGGACCCUGGACACGGUGACUCUGAUUCAAUUAUGCAGAUGACCACAAGCCUCUGGGGUUGGCAGAGCCACAAGAAAGAAGGUGCCUGGAUGAAGGAGAGCUACCCACUGACCUGGACACCCAAUUAUUCAUCUGUCUUAGAGCUAUUGGAAUCCUGGAUCAUUGUGGGAAAUGAAAAGAACUGGUUUUUAGCAAGGAGACCAAGAAACUCUACUCCCUAGGGGCUAGCAAUGAGAGAAAGGAAGCCUUGAGUCUUUGAGCACAGGGUGACAGUUUGGGUCCUAUGUGAGAUGAUCAAAUCCACAGCAACAGAGGAAAGGACAAAAGGAAAAGAUACUUCGAUGGAAUCAGCAGCCAUUGAUCCAAUGCCAACUCCAAGACUGGAACGUCGCAAUGAUAGUUCCAAGGCGGAAAUUUGAC